This 254-nucleotide long non-coding RNA is filed under the name Carica papaya (papaya). RNAcentral's name for it is "long non-coding RNA (CPAP_LNC015662)". Lineage: Eukaryota; Viridiplantae; Streptophyta; Magnoliopsida; Brassicales; Caricaceae. The record is from RNAcentral.
UUUGGCCACUGGGGAAAUCAGCGUGGAAAAACGAGUCGGGGGUAUGAAAUUUACCUCGAUCGGCGGUCGGAAAUCCCUCCGGUGUGGCGGCGGGUGGCGGCGGCCAGCUUCUGGUUCGUCUUCUCCGGCGAGGGCAGGCGGCUAGGGUUUGGGGUAUGGUGUGGGGGUCUUAUUUAUACCCUUUUGCCUUUUGAUCUCAGCUGUCCAUUUUGUUUUAAUCUGGGCCGUCCGUGCGAUUAAAUCUGGGCCGUCCG